UACGUAGGGUGCGAGCGUUAAUCGGAAUUACUGGGCGUAAAGAGUGCGCAGGCGGACUUGUAAGUCUGAUGUGAAAUCCCCAGGCUUAACCUGGGACUGGCAUUGGAAACUGCGAAUCUAGAGUAAGAGAGAGGGAGGUAGAAUUCCACGUGUAGCAGUGAAAUGCGUAGAGAUGUGGAGGAAUACCGAUGGCGAAGGCAGCCUUCUGGCUCAUUACUGACGCUCAAGCACGAAAGCGUGGGGAGCAAACAGG
RNAcentral lists this ribosomal RNA (253 nucleotides) under uncultured bacterium. Its description in RNAcentral is "partial 16S ribosomal RNA". It matches the Rfam family "Bacterial small subunit ribosomal RNA", at positions 524 to 776 of the family's 1533-position model. The record is from RNAcentral.